GUGGGGAAUAUUGGGCAAUGGGGGAAACCCUGACCCAGCAACGCCGCGUGAAGGAAGAAGGCUUUCGGGUUGUAAACUUCUUUUAUGAGGGAAGAUAAUGACGGUACCUCAUGAAUAAGCCACGGCUAACUACGUGCCAGCAGCCGCGGUAAUACGUAGGUGGCGAGCGUUAUCCGGAUUUAUUGGGUGUAAAGGGCGUGUAGGCGGGACAGCAAGUCAGAUGUGAAGACCAGAGGAUCAACCUCUGGCCUGCAUUUGAAACUGUUGUUCUUGAGUGUCGGAGAGGUAAUCGGAAUUCCGUGUGUAGCGGUGAAAUGCGUAGAUAUACGGAGGAACACCAGUGGCGAAGGCGGAUUACUGGACGAUAACUGACGCUGAGGCGCGAAAGCUAGGGUAGCAAACAGGAUUAGAAACCCGUGUAGUCC
This 425-nucleotide ribosomal RNA is filed under the name uncultured bacterium. Its description in RNAcentral is "partial 16S ribosomal RNA". It matches the Rfam family "Bacterial small subunit ribosomal RNA", at positions 354 to 796 of the family's 1533-position model. The record is from RNAcentral.